GGUCAGUGAUGAGAUGUAAAAGGUCCGAAGCCUUCGUCUCCUUCCAGUCCUUCUGUCCCUCCCAGCAGCCCCUCUUCAUUUUUCUCCAGCUUGCUCUAGUCGUGCAUUGCUGGUUUAAGGCGGCAGCUGAUAUUAUAGACACUUCUGCUAUAUAUUUUGAGUCUUUUAGAGAACAAGAAGACUUGAUAACAGCAGCGUCAAACAGAAACACAACACACAGGAGGGUUGGACUGAAGGAGAGUGUAUGACAGGCUAAUGAUCUCAAGUUUUCAAGCUGAGACC
Labeo rohita (rohu) is the source of this 282-nucleotide non-coding RNA. RefSeq annotates it as small Cajal body-specific RNA 6. The transcript has a single exon. NCBI's taxonomy places the organism in Eukaryota, Metazoa, Chordata, Actinopteri, Cypriniformes, Cyprinidae. The record is from RefSeq and is a predicted model, not a curated record.